Long non-coding RNA from Thalassophryne amazonica, 92 nucleotides. RefSeq lists it as uncharacterized. The record is from RefSeq and is a predicted model, not a curated record. NCBI's taxonomy places the organism in Eukaryota, Metazoa, Chordata, Actinopteri, Batrachoidiformes, Batrachoididae. The transcript is spliced from 3 exons.
AAUCAUUCAUUCAAUCAAUAUUUUAAUGCAGUGGUCCCCAACCCCUGGGCCGCGGACCGGUACCGGUCCGUGGAUCAAUUAGUACAGGGCCA